RNAcentral lists this ribosomal RNA (204 nucleotides) under uncultured bacterium. Its description in RNAcentral is "partial 16S ribosomal RNA". It matches the Rfam family "Bacterial small subunit ribosomal RNA", at positions 1290 to 1500 of the family's 1533-position model. The record is from RNAcentral.
AGUUCAGAUUGCAGGCUGCAACUCGCCUGCAUGAAGUUGGAAUUGCUAGUAAUCGCGCAUCAGCCACGGCGCGGUGAAUACGUUCCCGGGCCUUGUACACACCGCCCGUCAAGCCAUGGGAGCCGGGGGGUACCUGAAGUGCGUAACCGCGAGGAGCGCCCUAGGGUAAAACUGGUGACUGGGGCUAAGUCGUAACAAGGUAGC